AAUUAUGUAGCGUAGUGGUUUGAGCGUCAGACUAUGACUCUGGAGACCAGGGUUCAAAUUCCAGGUCAGCCG
This is a non-coding RNA of Phrynosoma platyrhinos (Desert horned lizard), 72 nucleotides long. The record is from the annotation of a GenBank genome assembly. Lineage: Eukaryota; Metazoa; Chordata; Lepidosauria; Squamata; Phrynosomatidae.